CGGGAGAUUGAUACACGGGUUCACACGAAAACACGUUUUCUCGUCACAAAUUCUCCCAAAAUAAAAAACACUUUCUGAUGACUGUAACUUGUGACGUGUUAAUUUACAGACAGAUACGGAGUGAACAUGA
Molecule: non-coding RNA, 130 nt
Organism: Venturia canescens
Lineage: Eukaryota; Metazoa; Arthropoda; Insecta; Hymenoptera; Ichneumonidae
Product: small Cajal body-specific RNA 8
Exons: 1
Source: RefSeq, a predicted model, not a curated record